Molecule: long non-coding RNA, 1169 nt
Filed under: Capra hircus (goat)
Lineage: Eukaryota; Metazoa; Chordata; Mammalia; Artiodactyla; Bovidae
Description: lncRNA (ENSCHIG00010028250.1)
Source: RNAcentral
GAAGUUUUUCAGUCUCAAUCCAUGCCAACCCUUGUACUUAUUUUUCCUAAAGAUGAGUUUCAGAGUUAUGUAAUAAUGAACUUCAUCCUUUUGUACAAAUUAAACCAGGAGUCAUAAAGCAGGAGGUAAAUGAAAAACUGGGUUAAACAAACAAAAAAAAAGAAAACCACACAACUGACCAAAUCUAUAGCAGGCUCAGCUUUUUUUGAGAGCGAGAGAUUAAGGGGCAUGCAGUCAACUGGUAUGAAGGUCACCAAACAAAAUGUUGCAAUCUUAAAGUGCCAUUGACAUGCAGACUGUCCAGUAGCAGCUUGGAACAAUCUUCCCCUUUGCUAAUUACUACCUUAGCCCAAAUCAUUCAUACAUGACAAGGGUAUGCUACAUUUACAGUAAAACAUUUUAAAAAGUAGGAACAUUCUUUUCUUUACAUUGAAAUAAAAAUCCUGAAUAUAACUUUUAAAAAUUAUAUUCUCAUUCCCAGUUUUUUGUUAAAGUGACCCGAAAGCUCAAAACGUCCACCAUUGGUCUCUGCACGGUAGAUAUGGGCUUGGGCAAAUCUGUCUUUUCCUCACUCACUGCCUGCCUGCUGACCAUGUUGAAAUCACCAAAUUGUCUCAGUUGGAAAUCUUCUGAUUUUCACAGGAAAAAGCUGAAAGCCACAAGCCACCAACGACCACAGGUACCUCGCGCUUUCUAAGUCCGCGUCAGAAGGAAGCAUGCGACGCAGGGGACCUCCGCGCGUCUCCCACCUGCGGCUGACCUGCGGACCUCCUGCGGGCAGAGACAGCUCCUUGCAAAGCAAACAGCUCCCCACUCUGCAUGGAAAGGCUCAUCUACUUCCUCGGUCCACACUGCAAGCAUCAGACUCCCUGAGAGUCACUGAGAGAGUGAAUCAGACUCAGCUGAUAAGCACAGAGCUGACCUUUAAACCCCAGCCUCUAAUAGAGCACUCCGUGUUUGCUCAAGCAUUCUGGGUCAGCAGGGUCUGCAUGUACCGAGGUGGGGCAAACCCAGGAGCCCGGCUCCAGCUCUCACAUGGCCCUGACGGAACAGGGCUGGGGGCUGGGCUAGCAGAGGCCCCACACCUCCUACCCCGACUUAGAACAUGCUAUCUUGCAGAGAGAGAGGGAGAGAGAGAGGUCUUGGGAGUAUACCAGUCAGCUGACUGA